GACGAACGCUGGCGGCGUGCUUAACACAUGCAAGUCGAGCGGUAAGGGCCCUUUCGGGGGUACACGAGCGGCGAACGGGUGAGUAACACGUGGGUGACCUGCCCUCGGCUCUGGGAUAAGCCUGGGAAACCGGGUCUAAUACCGGAUAUGACUCCAUGACGCAUGUUGUGGGGUGGAAAGCCUUGUGCGGCUGAGGAUGGGCCCGCGGCCUAUCAGCUUGUUGGUGGGGUGANGGCCUACCAAGGCGACGACGGGUAGCCGGCCUGAGAGGGCGACCGGCCACACUGGGACUGAGACACGGCCCAGACUCCUACGGGAGGCAGCAGUGGGGAAUCUUGCGCAAUGGGCGAAAGCCUGACGCAGCGACGCCGCGUGAGGGAUGACGGCCUGGUUGUAACGU
This 400-nucleotide ribosomal RNA is filed under the name uncultured bacterium. RNAcentral describes it as "bacterial SSU rRNA". It matches the Rfam family "Bacterial small subunit ribosomal RNA", at positions 28 to 431 of the family's 1533-position model. The record is from RNAcentral.